GCUAAAAGCUGGAACCUUCUCAGUUGCCGCAGCGACCCAGGCCUGACAGUCUAUAAAUGGACCAAUGCUAAGACCAGGGUCAUGUGAAGUUGGCUGAAACUGGGAGGGACGACCUGGACUGAAGAGCGUCUGCUAAAUCAAUUACCUGCCCUGCACAGAAUACCAUUGUUCCCCGGUCAACCGGGGCUCCCCUCCUUGACUCACCAUAUGGCUUUGGCUAAAGAUGGCGUCAUCAGGAUCAGGGCAUGGACGCCUUGCAGACAGUGUUUUCUCUCUUCACACCUGUGUUAAUUUAUGGUGUAGCCUCUCGUUUGAUCAACACAGAGAGACAAAGGCCAAACAAAGCUCUCAGGUACAGAGGCGAUGACUGUGUUUGAUGUUGCAGCUCUGGGCCAUUGUUUAAAGAAGAUGGAUUACCUAUGUUCCAUUCAUGAACA
Long non-coding RNA from Oncorhynchus tshawytscha (Chinook salmon), 437 nucleotides. NCBI's taxonomy places the organism in Eukaryota, Metazoa, Chordata, Actinopteri, Salmoniformes, Salmonidae. The record is from Ensembl.